UUUAUCUGGGCUUUUUGCUUUGCACUUUUUUAUUAUUGAUAAAGAGUCUCCUUCGAUAAUAACUCUUUCCCACUGUUUGUGAACGCCGAUUUGGAGAGCUUUCCGGCACGCCAUUGCUUCCGCUCCAAAAGCUGAGGAGACCCUUUGAUGAACCUCCGAACAAGAUAAGAGAACUAAACCCUCUUUGUCUCUGGCUACAACUCCGAUAGCCGCUUUAUUCUGUCCUUUUUCAUAUGCUGCAUCAAAAUUGAUUUUGACAAAGUUAUCCUCUGGUUUUUUCCAUUUUGUAACAGUAAAUGGAGUUUGUCUACUAUUUUGACCAACCGAUUCUAACUCUGAAAUGUAUCUGUUAACAAAUCUUCCUAUGUCUUUUCCAGAUUUACUCCCUUUAUUAUGCAGUCUGUUAUUCCUAUCACCCCAGAUGGCCCAUACAGCAACACAGAAGGGCAUUCACGAAAAAGGUGGUCCAUAGAUUUAGAUCCAGAUCCACACCGAGGACACACUGAAAAGUUUGUUAGUCUUCUAAGAAGCAUAUUAACCCGAGUUGCUAGGAAAUUCCAAGAGAUCUUCCAAACUGUAAUUUUUAUUUUUGAAGGAAGAUCAAGAAGCCAUAGCUUCCUGUAGAAGUCCUUAUAGUCAUCUUGUAAAGCAUAAGCUCUAGGAUUAUUUUCAGUGUUUUACAAUAGUUUAUAGGCGCUCCUGACUGUGAACUCACCCGACGCUUCAGCACUCUAGACUUGGAAAUCAUCGUGUGGUUUUUCUGCCAGCUGAAUACUAAGAAUCUUCUCAGCAACAUCCUCCGGAAAGGUGAUAUCUGAGUGCAAUUACUCAACCCAUGCCCCAUUCUUCCACAACCAAAACAGAACAUUGGCAGGUUUUCAUACUUAAAGUGGAUCCAUACUUUACUAACAUAAUCAGCAACGACAAAAAUACCUCUUCUAAGUGGUUUCUGGACAUCCAAAUUAAUUCUGAGUCGAUAGAAUUCUUCACUAAUUUCAGAUCUGAGAACCCCACCAAAAGUCCCACCAAUCGCAUGCAAUAGAUCUUUCUUGUCGAUCUCGGGGAAACACGUUUCAAUUUUUAUC
Gossypium raimondii (Peruvian cotton) is the source of this 1085-nucleotide long non-coding RNA. RefSeq lists it as uncharacterized. The record is from RefSeq and is a predicted model, not a curated record. The transcript is spliced from 3 exons. NCBI's taxonomy places the organism in Eukaryota, Viridiplantae, Streptophyta, Magnoliopsida, Malvales, Malvaceae.